RNAcentral lists this long non-coding RNA (1616 nucleotides) under Diabrotica virgifera virgifera (western corn rootworm). RNAcentral's name for it is "uncharacterized LOC126883305". Lineage: Eukaryota; Metazoa; Arthropoda; Insecta; Coleoptera; Chrysomelidae. The record is from RNAcentral.
UUUUAUUUGAGUGUUUUUGGCUCAAAGGAAAAAAUAUAGGAGUUACAGACCACUAAUUGAAAAAAAAAAGAAGAUUUAGGAGUGCUAAUUUGUUUAUAAAUAAAAUAACACACUUUCUGCGGACUUGUCAUACCCCAUAUUACUAAUAUAUGCAAUCUUAAGAUUCGAUUUUAGCAAUAAAAUAGCUGGUAAAUAAUUUUUCCCAAAAAUGGUAUUUUUUCGAUAAUUUUCCCAGACUAUCAACAAAAUCCAAGAAACCGAAGCGCCAACCCAAAUUCUGAGCAGUCUCAACAUAAUAAGGUUAAUAUCCCCAAGAAUCGCGCGGUGUCGAAAUGAAAUUGCGACUGUCGAAAUGAAUUAGAAUCAGCGGUGGGAUCACGAUCAGUAGAAUGGUAGAAUGCUGACGUCACAAAAAUAAUUCUACAAUCGACAAUUUUGGUAUCACGUUAACACGCUUGGGAAAGUAGAAUGGGUGCUCGGCAAUGUUCGGAUAUUCUACUAGCCGAGUUAAAAAUAUCGCUUCUUCUUCUUAAAAAUAUUGCCGUUUGACGUGUGGUUGUCUUUAUUUUGUGGUGGUUGUAUUCAAAAAGCUAACCUAAAGAUUAUUAUUUGUAUUUGUGAUUAUUUGGAUUAUUUGCAAUUUGUUUAUUUUUGUCUUGCGUUGUUUGGAACUAUUUUAUUAGAAAUCACUAAAUUUUUGGAUUUUACCUGUGACUAGGGAACAUUGUUAUAUAAAGGUAUUUUUAUGCAUGUGAUCCAGACUUAAAAAUUUUAAACAUCGAUGCUAGAUGGGGAGGUGCAACACAUGAUGCUUCAUAUGGAGAAACUCAAAUGUAAAACUUUUUUGCAGCAGAUCGUUUAAAAUAGAGAUCAAAGCAUUUUCCAUUUCUAUUCUGGCAAAGAUUACUUUCACUUCUUAGUUAUCUUUGCUGGAAGGUGAAUCUUUAUAUCUUAUUAUGAAGUAUUUUGAACAUAAAUAAAUAAAUAUCUUAAAGAAAUGUUUAUUUAAAGUUUCAUAAUAAUUUUUAUAAGUAGUUUAAUAUUAUUACUUAUUUUUGCACUAGAAUUCAUAAUUGUAAAGCUUCAUUGACUAAUGGCCAGUUUCACCAAAGAUGAAUAGUAGUUUAUUCGAUGAAUAAAAUUAUUCAACUGAUAAAACUGACACAACUAUGUUUCUCUAACGUCAAAUAGUACUUAUUUUAUUUAUUUAUCAAAUAAAUAUUUACUCUUCAAAUGAAUUGACGAGUUAAUCUCACUUUAAAUAUCUAUAACAAAGAAAAUUCGUCAAUUUAAUUUUAAAUUAUCAAACUAUUCACUGAUUUAUUUGUUGUUGGUGAAACUGGCCAUAGAGAGUAAAAUUGCAUUAUUUUUCAAUUUACAUAAAUUUGUGGUUUAUUUGUGAUUUAUUCUUUGUUCUCAUUUUAGUCUUGGUAUGAAACAAUGUUAAGAGAAUACUGUGUGCUUUUUCAGUCCUAUGAAAGAAAAUGUUUUGGAUGUAACAGAGAAGUACUACAACUUUGUUAUGAAGAUUUGUCUUUAUGUUAUUUUUAUAAUGUUCAUGGAUUAUAUUUGUUUUUAUGUUUUCUUCAGUUUAAAUAAAGUUUAUGUUUUACCCA